UACGUAGGGGGCGAGCGUUAUCCAGAUUUACUGGGCGUAAAGCGCGUGUAGGCGGUCCGGUAAGUCCGCUGUGAAAGUCGGGGGCUCAACCCUCGAAUGCCGGUGGAUACUGUCGGGCUAGAGUACGGAAGAGGCGAGUGGAAUUCCUGGUGUAGCGGUGAAAUGCGCAGAUAUCAGGAGGAACACCGGUGGCGAAGGCGGGUCUCUGGGCCGAUACUGACGCUGAGGAGCGAAAGCGUGGGGAGCGAACAGG
This 253-nucleotide ribosomal RNA is filed under the name uncultured bacterium. RNAcentral's name for it is "partial 16S ribosomal RNA". It matches the Rfam family "Bacterial small subunit ribosomal RNA", at positions 524 to 776 of the family's 1533-position model. The record is from RNAcentral.